RNAcentral lists this ribosomal RNA (658 nucleotides) under uncultured bacterium. RNAcentral describes it as "bacterial SSU rRNA". It matches the Rfam family "Bacterial small subunit ribosomal RNA", at positions 24 to 673 of the family's 1533-position model. The record is from RNAcentral.
UCAGAUUGAACGCUGGCGGCAGGCCUAACACAUGCAAGUCGAGCGGUAACAUUUCUAGCUUGCUAGAAGAUGACGAGCGGCGGACGGGUGAGUAAUACUUGGGGAUCUGCCUGAUGGCGGGGGACAACCACUGGAAACGGUGGCUAAUACCGCAUAAUGCCUACGGGCCAAAGUGUGGGACCUUCGGGCCACAUGCCAUCAGAUGAACCCAAGCGAGAUUAGCUAGUUGGUGAGGUAACGGCUCACCAAGGCGACGAUCUCUAGCUGGUCUGAGAGGAUGAUCAGCCACACUGGGACUGAGACACGGCCCAGACUCCUACGGGAGGCAGCAGUGGGGAAUAUUGGACAAUGGGCGCAAGCCUGAUCCAGCCAUGCCGCGUGUGUGAAGAAGGCCUUCGGGUUGUAAAGCACUUUCAGUGGUGAGGAAGGCCUUGUAGUUAAUAGCUGCAAGGAUUGACGUUAGCCACAGAAGAAGCACCGGCUAACUCCGUGCCAGCAGCCGCGGUAAUACGGAGGGUGCGAGCGUUAAUCGGAAUUACUGGGCGUAAAGCGCACGUAGGCGGUUUGUUAAGCAAGAUGUGAAAGCCCAGGGCUCAACCUUGGAAUAGCAUUUUGAACUGGCAAGCUAGAGUUUUGAAGAGGGUGGUAGAAUUUCCAG